UACGUAGGGUGCAAGCGUUAAUCGGAAUUACUGGGCGUAAAGCGUGCGCAGGCGGUUAUGUAAGACAGAUGUGAAAUGCCCGGGCUUAACCUGGGAACUGCAUUUGUGACUGCAUGGCUAGAAUCUGGCAGAGGGGGGUAGAAUUCCACGUGUAGCAGUGAAAUGCGUAGAUAUGUGGGAGGAACACCCGAUGGCGAAGGCAGCCCCCUGGGUCAAGAUUGACGCUCAUGCACGAAAGCGUGGGGAGCAAACAGG
RNAcentral lists this ribosomal RNA (255 nucleotides) under uncultured bacterium. Its description in RNAcentral is "partial 16S ribosomal RNA". It matches the Rfam family "Bacterial small subunit ribosomal RNA", at positions 524 to 776 of the family's 1533-position model. The record is from RNAcentral.